Long non-coding RNA from Mauremys reevesii (Reeves's turtle), 1637 nucleotides. RefSeq lists it as uncharacterized. Lineage: Eukaryota; Metazoa; Chordata; Testudines; Geoemydidae. The record is from RefSeq and is a predicted model, not a curated record. The transcript is spliced from 4 exons.
AUAUGGAAAUAGUAACAUACUUUGAAAUGGAACAUUAUACACUGAAUACACAGGACAUCUGAAACAUUCCUUGUUCUGUUCUUAGAUUUGUCCCAUGUUCCUCUACAGAGUCUACAGCUUUAAUCUCACCUAUUCUUAUUUACAUAGUACAGCCACAAAUGUAAACUUGAAGAGUGUCCCCAUCUGAGAUUUGAGAAUCAGGGAGCAGAAUUGAAAGAAGCGGGAGGCAGGGAGAGGAGGGUAAGGACAUCCAAAGCAGCAGCAAAGCUUGUGUCAGAACAUCUGGCUAAUAGAGAUGCACAGAGAAUGGAGAGACCCAAACAAACGGAAACAACUUGUGAGGCUCCUUCAAUCCAGUGAUGACAAAGCACUUCACAAGCAUGAUUGGAUUAAGCUUCUCAACACUUCUGUUUGGCAGAGGAGUAGCGCGACCAGGUGUCCGGUUUUCGAUGGGAGCACCUGGUCGAAAAGGGAUCCUGGCGGCUCUGGUGCUUACCAGAGAGGGCAUCGCUGAACUGGGAUCCUUGCUGACAAGUGGUUUGAAAGUUAGGCCAUGUUUUGUAAUCAGAUCCUGGAGGCCAAAGGGAAAGUUCUCAUUUAGUCAUUUGGAGGACUCACCCCUGUGUUCACAGAGGGAUUGAGUUCACUGAGAUACAGAGCAGUAAUUUCACUACAAGAACAACGAGCAAGAUAGAAUGGAACCUGGAACCAAAUGCUGGGGCUCCUCAGCUUGUUUAAUCUUCUUUUCUCUGCCUUGCCCCCGAGAUGGACUUCUUCAUUCUUGUUCCUCCCAAGAUCUCCAUGAAUUUCCCAUCCUAGCUUCUCUGGCCCAUGCAGUAUGCGGAUCACUUUCAUAAUCACUGCUGCAUUUGAGCUCCCCAAUCUGCUGGGCUCAAAUCACAAGGAUUAACUGAUCCUGAUUUAAUGCACUCUUUGAACUAAUUUUCUCAACCUUUCCCAGUAUGCAUUGCUCUUCUGUCUAAAAUGUUCACAAUAGGAACAAAAGUAACUAAGCUCAUAUACCAUGGGACCUGGUGUCUAAUGAUUCCCACAGCUCCUCUUGCAACAGCUCUUUGCACUCCUCAUUUAAACAGUUCUUUAUUCAUUCCCUUGUUGUACCCUCAGCCCUAGGGCCCACAGGGCAGUUUAAACAAUAGUCUACCAGGUGGAGCACUAGCAAAGGCUUUGAUAAAAAUCUAUACACAUUAUGUAGCAUUCCCGGCAACUUCUUUUGGAACUGCCUUUUAAAUGUCCACAUGGCUAGCUAGGCAGGAGUUUUUCCUUCUUAGCUUUGAGUUGCUUUCCAUUGCCAGAACCAGAUGAUCCAUUACCCAUGGCCACCCACAGAAUAGGAUGCAAGAAGCCAGAUGUUCUGCAAAAUCCCUUUCACCACCGUUCUAGCUGCAGCCCUAGUGAAGUUUCCCUGCACCAAAACUGGCUCUUGGGGAACAGGAAUCAGCCCUUAGUGAAUCCAUUAAUGUUACUGUCUGUUACAAUAAAAUGAAGGCAUUUAUUUUCUGAGUCUCCCUUAGUUAGCCCUUUCUUGUAUCACAAAGGCUCUAUGGGCAUUGUCUGAUUAUUAAUGAAUGGACACUGGCAUAAACCCUUCAAUCUGUGCACUGGAUCCUUCUUACCUG